This 55-nucleotide transfer RNA is filed under the name Tetranychus kanzawai. RNAcentral describes it as "tRNA-His". RNAcentral also lists the same sequence under 2 other names. Lineage: Eukaryota; Metazoa; Arthropoda; Arachnida; Trombidiformes; Tetranychidae. The record is from RNAcentral.
AUUGAAAUAGUUUAUAAAAAUAUUAAAUUGUGAAUUUAAAGAAAUAUUUUCAAUA